AUGAACCCGCUGCUCUUAAAGAGGGUCACUCAGCCCUCCCUCUCUCUGCUGCCCCCCUCCAGUGAGGAGUUCCAGCAGGGGAAGGCUACACUGCUGUGCUUGGUCAGUAAGGGCUUUCCCUCAGACUGGACGCUGACUUGGAAGGUGGACGGUAGCAGGUGGAGCUCAGGUGUGGUGGUCAGCCCCGGCGUGCUGCAGCAGGUAAACGGCCUGUACAGCUGGAGCAGCACGCUGACCCUCACUGAGGACCAGUGGAGGAAGACGAGGGUAGUGAGCUGUGAGGUCAGUCACGGCUCCAGCACAGCAGUGAAGAGUCUGAACACACAGCAGUGCACCGAGAACUAA
This is a non-coding RNA of Pygocentrus nattereri (red-bellied piranha), 345 nucleotides long. NCBI's taxonomy places the organism in Eukaryota, Metazoa, Chordata, Actinopteri, Characiformes, Serrasalmidae. The record is from the annotation of a RefSeq genome assembly.